This 507-nucleotide ribosomal RNA is filed under the name uncultured Glomus. RNAcentral's name for it is "SSU rRNA". It matches the Rfam family "Eukaryotic small subunit ribosomal RNA", at positions 569 to 1081 of the family's 1831-position model. The record is from RNAcentral. Lineage: Eukaryota; Fungi; Glomeromycota; Glomeromycetes; Glomerales; Glomeraceae.
AGCAGCCGCGGUAAUUCCAGCUCCAAUAGCGUAUAUUAAAGUUGUUGCAGUUAAAAAGCUCGUAGUUGAACUUCAGGCCUGGCUGGAUGGUCCGCCUUCUGGGUGAGUACUGUCUGUGGUCGGGUCCUACCUUCUGGCGAAGCGUCAUGGCCUUCACCGGCCGUGGCGGGGAGCCAGGACUUUUACUGUGAAAAAUUAGAGUGUUCAAAGCAGGCACGCGCUUGAAUACAUUAGCAUGGAAUAAUGGAAUAGGACAGUGGUUCUAUUUGUUGGUUUCUAGGACCGUUGUAAUGAUUAAUAGGGAUAGUUGGGGGCAUUAGUAUUCAAUUGUCAGAGGUGAAAUUCUUGGAUUUAUUGAAGACUAACUACUGCGAAAGCAUUUGCCAAGGAUGUUUUCAUUAAUCAAGAACGAAAGUUAGGGGAUCGAAGACGAUCAGAUACCGUCGUAGUCUUAACCAUAAACUAUGCCGACUAGGAAUCGGGCGAUGUUGACAAAAUGACGCGCUC